Molecule: small RNA, 124 nt
Filed under: Dickeya solani
Lineage: Bacteria; Pseudomonadati; Pseudomonadota; Gammaproteobacteria; Enterobacterales; Pectobacteriaceae
Description: RtT
Rfam family: RtT RNA
About the family: This family represents a bacterial cis-regulatory element known as RtT RNA.
Source: RNAcentral
CAUGCGUCAUGUUGGGGAAGGUGAGAACCUUCGACGAGGUUCGAGUCGAGCAGCGCGAGACAACGCGCGUAGCGCGGCCCGAAGGGUGAGGAGCAGAGCGACGAAUAAUCCUUCCCCACCACCA